Long non-coding RNA from Nicotiana tabacum (common tobacco), 1840 nucleotides. RefSeq lists it as uncharacterized. Lineage: Eukaryota; Viridiplantae; Streptophyta; Magnoliopsida; Solanales; Solanaceae. The record is from RefSeq and is a predicted model, not a curated record.
UAGAUUUAUCUUCCCGAUCGAAUCAGUCAAAAAUUCUUUUAUUAUUUCCCCUCAAACCCAAUUUUGUUCACAUUUUUCAUUCCCCAAAACCUUCUCUCCCUUCUCUCCGACGAUUCUGGCAAUUUUGGUGAUUUCAACCGUCAGCAACUUUCGGGCGGUGACAGCGGGAUAUCCCGGUGGCGACGACGACAACAUUGAUCUAGGUCCACAAAAUCCAAAAAAGUUGAUUGAUAUUAACAUGCAGCCUUUGAUUGAUGAGUUGAAGUUAUUGUGGCAUCAAGGCGUGGAAACAUAUGAUGUAUCAACUAAGCAAAACUUUAGAUUGCGUGCUGCUUUGAUGUGGACUAUAAAUAAUUUUCCUGCUUAUGAAAUGAUGUCCGGGUGGUCGACUGCUGGAGAGUUAGCUUGCCCGACUUGUACAGAAGAUACAAAGGUAUUCACUUUGAAACAUAGAGGUAAGAACACAUGGUUUGACUGCCGUCGCCGCUUCUUGCCAAUGGAUCAUGAGUUUCAGAGAAAUACUAGUGCAUUUAUGAAGAACAAAAUUGAUUAUGAGGAGCCACCAUCCAUAUUGUCUCCAGAAGAGAUUUGGAACAGAGUUAGGGAACUACCUAAGGUAACAUAGUAUCCUUUGGCUAAUAAGAUACCUGGUUAUGGUGUUACACACAGCUGGACUAAACAGAGCAUAUUCUGGGAGUUACCUUAUUGGAAGCACAAUCUUCUUCGGCAUAAUCUUGAUGUCAUGCAUAUUGAGAAGAACAUUUUUGACAACUUGUUUAAUAAUGUGAUGGAUGUCAACAACAAGACAAAGGAUAAAUUGAAGGCCAGGAUGAACUUAAAGGAAUAUUGUAGGCGAAGUGAGUGUACCUGACAUAUUUGAACAACAAGAUUCAGAAAUCCAAGGCCAGUUUUACCUUCACCUUGGAAGAAAGAAGAGAGAUUUAUGAUUGGGUUAAUAAUUUGAGUAUGUCAGAUGGGUAUACAUCAAAUCUGUCUAGGUGUGUUGACUUGAAAGAAGGAAAGUUGACGUCUAUGAAAAGCCAAACUGUUACAUUUUCAUGGAUUUUUUUAUGCAUGUUGCAUUUAAUGCAUUACCUGAUAGAAUAUGGAAGCCCAUCACAGAGGUAAGCUUAUUUUUCAAGGAGUUAUGUUCUAGCACCUUGAGGGUGGAGAACCUAACUUACAUGGAGAAUAACAUUCGCGUAACUCUAAACAAGUUAGUGAAAAAUUUUCCUCUUGGUUUUUUUGACGUGACAGAACAUCUUCCAAUUCACCUUGUACAAGAGGAAUGGUUUGGAGGGCCAGUUCAAUGCAGAUGGAUGUAUCCAUUUGAGAGAUAAUUAAUGACUUUUAAUCAUUAAUUCUUAUGUGUUUCAUUUUUACAUUAUUCCAUCUAAAAAUUCUUAUGUGUUUGACUACCAUCGCCGCUUCUUGCUAGUGGAACACCCCUGAGUGGAAGAAGAAGAGUGAACAUGCAAAGUUAAAUAGAGCUUCUACUAAGGGUGGAGCUUUGCAUACUGGUGAAUCUAUCAGAAAAAGAAACGUGAGGGAGAUGUGACUUAUGCUGAUGUCUUUGCGGAGACCCAUAAAAGAAGAAGAAGGACGACACAAGAGAAGGAUGGGUCGAACCGCAUGCUUCAGAGACAUUUGAACUCAGCCGGCCCGAAGGAGAUUAUUGCAGUUUGGACACAGGCGGCAAGUGGCAUGAAUAAAGGUCGAGUCUAUGGGAUUGGAGUACAGUCAUUCUCCAGUCGUCCAGCAUUAUUAUUCGUUGGUGUAAUGACCCGACCGGUCGUUUUGAGCUCUAGCGCGUCGCUCGGCAGUUUAAGGCCUUGGGUAG